This 408-nucleotide ribosomal RNA is filed under the name uncultured bacterium. RNAcentral describes it as "partial 16S ribosomal RNA". It matches the Rfam family "Bacterial small subunit ribosomal RNA", at positions 28 to 526 of the family's 1533-position model. The record is from RNAcentral.
GACGAACGCUGGCGGCGUGCUUAACACAUGCAAGUCGAACGAAGUGGCGAACGGGUGAGUAACGCGUAAUCAACCCGCCCUUCAGAGGGGGACAACAGUUGGAAACGACUGCUAAUACCGCAUACUGAAGGAGGGGAUUGCGUCUGAUUAGCUAGUUGGAGGGGGAACGGCCCACCAAGGCGAUGAUCAGUAGCCGGGCUGGGAGGAUGGACGGCAACAUUGGGAAUGGGAAAAGGGCCAGACGCCUACGGGAGGCAGCAGUGGGGAAUCUUCCGAAAUGGACGAAAGUCUGAAGGAGCAACGCCGCGUGAGUGAUGACGGCCUUCGGGUUGGAAAGCUCUGUUAAUCGGGACGCGGUACCGGAAUAGAAAGCCACGGCUAACUACGUGCCAGCAGCCGCGGUAAUUC